Molecule: long non-coding RNA, 4642 nt
Organism: Pipra filicauda (Wire-tailed manakin)
Lineage: Eukaryota; Metazoa; Chordata; Aves; Passeriformes; Pipridae
Exons: 5
Source: RefSeq, a predicted model, not a curated record
CAUGGCAGGGGCUGGAACUUUAAGGUCCCUUCCAACCCAAACUAUUCCAUGAUUCCAUGAUUCUAAACCACCUGAGCCAAAUGCCAAAAUCUCCUUUUGCCCCGUGGCUGGUGAUGUGGAAGAGGUGUUGCAUCCCAGCUACCUGACCUUGGGAUAUGGAAGUGAUGGGGGAGGAGGUCAAGAACAAGAGGCAGACGGUGAUUUUGGUCCUCAGGUGUUUGCACAAACCCCUCUGCCAAGGCCAGGUUCUGACAGGCUGCACUGGCACCGCAGUGUUGUGACACCAGCUCUCGGCCCCGGGUGGAGUUUUAUCCUCCCAGUGCCCACUGGAGGUCGGGAACAAGUCCAUCAGUGGCCACCUGAAGUUCCCAUCUGGGAGCAGACCUUGUGUGUCAGGGGGGCUCCCAGCCCCUCCCAGCCCUGUCACAUUAAAUAUUCCCUGUAUGGGAUAUCUCCAUGCCAGGGAGAGACAGGAGCAAGCCCAGGGCAGGAUUUGGGCAGCGAGGGGCUUCUGCAAGCGCCCCAUCGUGCCUUCCUUCCCUGAUCUUCACCUUUGAGGCGUUGCAGUGCUUGAAAAAUGAACUUUGUGUCCAUGUUCUCCUCAAAGAUCCUGGGCUUUUUAAGCCCAGCUUUCUAAACCGUGCUGAAAGGUCCCGCACCGGGCAGGGGCUGCCUUUGAAAGGGAACAAAUUGUCGGUUUAUGGCUCCCAGGUGAGGGGGGGGGGCUGUAAAUCUCCCACCAUUUAACGCAUCUGGUCUUUUCCAGGCUGGCUACCAGUGUUCCAAGGAGGAGAGGGAGGAAUAACCAACAUUUCCGGCCAUCGGCUGCUCGCACGGCCCCCGGGAGCUCCUCAGGAAGGUUUUUAAAGGAAUAUUUAUGGAUGAUCCCGGUGAAUCAGGCCCUAAAAGGAAAACUGAGCACAGGAGGAGGGAUGGUUUGGUGGAAGAGCAUCCUGGGGUUUCCACUCUCAGAGCCUUUUCCUGAGACAUGAGUCACUUAAAAGCCUCCUGUAGACUCACUGAUAAGAGAAACUCCCUCGAGGUGAGCCCGGGUCUGUCCUUCAGCGUGUUUAUGUAAAGUACCUUUGGAACAGAUUUAUUCCACGGAAUGUGUGGAGGAGAUAAGGCCACACGUGCCCUCUGAGCCUGUUUCUUCCAGUGCAAUGUCUUGAGGUUUAUCUGAGUGUGCCUGAGAUCAGAGUUUGCCAGAGAAAGAGAAAAUCAGGGUGUUCUGUCAAAACUACAGGUUUGACAUAAUCCCCAAGGUUUGAACUUCUUGGGAGUUUUGGUGCCCAUCCUGCUCCCAGAAGGGACCAGCAGGCUCCUGCAGCUCCCAGCACCUCCCAGUGGAUGAUGGUGUUUUCCCAGUGUCUCCUGGCCGUGGUGGUGGGUGGAUAGGCUUAAGCUGAUGAUGGAUGGGGCCCAUGGGGUGCCUGGGGCUGUUGGAUCCAGGACUGCAACGACGGAGUCAACAGUGGAGACACUUUAUUGAUGUCAGUGAAUGUCCACUGUGCUCAGCUGCCAUCCUGAGGGCCCAGCUGUAGGAUCAGUGGACAGAGUCCCCAAAACUGUUGGAUUUGGGUCUCCUUCCAUAAGCACGGGGUGGUUCCAGAGUAACUGAGGCUGUGCAUGGGGCAGUUUGAUGUGCAGGGCCGUGUGGGUGCAGAGGUGUCCAUGAGGGCUCCAGUAAUGAUUUCCUGGGAGAAGCACCUCUUUUUCAGAGGUGAUGUGCCUAAUAGAUGGAAAACACCAGGGACAACCAGGUGGUAAAAAGAAAGUGCUUCCUUCUUAUCCUAAGCCAUCCCCCCUUCUCAGCACACAUCUGGUGUUUCUACACCAGAAGAACCUUCUCACACAUGUUCAUCCAUGAGCAAAAUCCUCCAGGGAGAAACUGCUCUGACUCAGCUCCUCUGCUCAGCUCUGUGUGCACUUGGCACGAGGCAGGAGGUGAAGAGCUCAGCCCAGGCAGAGCAAACCUGUCCUCCAAGGCCUGAGAUGCAGCAGAUCCUCCAAGGCCGGAGAGGCAGCAGGCGGGAAGACGCCGAUUUUUUGCCUGAUGAGCAGAUCUCCAGCUGUUCUGCCCCAUCCUCCUGGGACAGGGACAAAGGAGGGGGUGCAAAGCCACAAUGACUUCACCAGCAGCACAAGGAUAGGAUGGUGUCCAGCUGAUCCUUGCGAAACACCCUCUGGAGUGUGCUGGCUGUGGGAACUGUGCCCAGCUCCGUGUCCUGCCAUCGCGGCGUCCUCGCCUGAGUCACUUCUAACCCAAUACUGAGUUGUUACCACUGGCAUCAAAAAAGGGGUUUUUUUGCUUUUCAGUGACUUCACAAAUCCAAGACACUGCCAACUAUCCCCCCUUCACAGCAUUUAAAACAUCAACACUUCCCUCCCAAAUGAAAAGGGAGUCAAAGGUCCUGUGCUUCCCUGUGCCCCUUGCUCUCCCACAGCAGGCAUGUGGGGAUUGGCCUUUUAGGAAGCCUCCUCUGCUCCACUGAACUGUAUUUGCAGUUUAGGACUGUGGCCUUGUGAUCCUGCACCCAGUGUGUGCAGUGGGACGUGGGGACAGGUCUGGUGGGGAGCCUGGUUUAGCUGUUCCCUGGAUUUGUCACAACAGCUCAGGAGCUACUGGGGGACAGCUGAGUUUGGUCCAUGGCCACGGCACCAAGCCUGCCAGAGUUCAAGAAGCAUUUGGACAGUACUCUGGGGCCCACGGUGUGACCCUUGGGAUGGUCCUGUGCAAGGCCAGGAGCUGGACUCAGUGAUCCAACUCUGUGAUCCUGCAAUUCCCAGUCUGCCCAGUCCAGAGGUGUUCACGCUCGGAGUAGGUGCUCCAGCUCCUCCCUCAUGACUCCCACGUGUUUCCAACAUCCCUGUUAAAAAGAAACCUCCAUCUCUCCCCCUCAUUUCCUUUUCUCUGAGACUCUGCUUAGAGCUUGCACAAGCCUUGCCCAACAACAACCCUGGCGCCCGUCCCGGCGUGGCCGUCGUGACUCCUGGGCAGGGAGGGCAAAGGCUGUGCUCAUGCUAGUUUUGGGGCAGAUUUCCCUCACCUCUGGCACCUCUCCCUCCUCGCUGCUCCCAAAUUUCCAGGGUUCCUCUCUCUCUCCAGCUUUCCCUCCUUCUGGGCUCACCUCUGCCUCUCAGAGGCCUUGUCCCCGGGAAGCCGCAGCAAAACGUGGCACAGACAAAGCCAGAAAACCACCAGGGAGUUCAGGGAGUUUUCCUUCCUUGCUCUGCUUCCUUUGGGAUGGCAUUAAAAUGCAGCAGAGGAUGAGACCUGGGUCCUGCUCUGUUUGUGGAGGAUUUUUCCACUGGUGCAAAAAAGGGUUCUGAGAAUUCUUUUUUACAAAGGAAAACACAGAGACAACGGCCAUGGGGGCUGGAGGGCUCAGCCUGGGCUCCUUGCUCUAGGAACCAGCCCUUAGGUCAGUGGUGGAUAAUCAAAACUGGGGAGGAAACCAAGGGUCUGGUGCCCAGCUGGUGCAAAUUAGUCAAAUUGUUAAGAUUUUAAUGAGUUUGACAACCGAAAUCGCCUGUGCUGGUAAUUCCCUUGCAUGCUCCUGGGGAGAGGCAUUGUAAGAAGAAGAAGGGCAAGUUGUUCCUCUUGGAAAUCCUUUCACCUUCUUUAUGCAGAGAGGAAAAAUAUCAGGGAAGCUGAGCUCUGGAUGGUCUCUGUGGGUUGGAGGAACUUUGAGACAAGGAUCUGGCUUGGCUCUGUGGUGGUAUUAGGGAGUAGGAUUUUCUCCCUAUCCAAGUAGGGUAAAUCAGGAGGAAAAUGUACUGAAGUGGUGGGAAUGAGCCAUCAGCCCAGCAGAACAGCCUGUGCCGUGGGGAAACAGCAGCAGGAGAGGUCCUGGGGGGCUGGAAAGGGAGAUUUGACCCUGCUCCGAGGCUCUGGCCAGCCUGGGAAUGCACUAUCCUAUUAUUCUGGGAUUCUGUGACCCUGCAGGUUUGCACAAGCUCCAGGAGCAACCCAGUGGGGCAGCUGGAGCCUCCUGGCAUGGGGGAAUCCCUGCUGGCUGUGCCCUGCCCAGGACAAGGGACAUCAUUUGGGGUCAGCUCUGGGACACCUUCCACCAGACCAGGUUCAAACUUUGGACACCUCAGCCCAUCUUGGAGCUGCACAGAGCCACAAAGUGCCUCUCAGCCUGACCCCAAGAUGAGCCCCAGCCUCGUGCAACAUCAAAAAACCAAGACCCCGUGGAAUGUGUGACCUUUCAUGGCAGAUGAUUUCCAAUCAUACGACUCCGUUGGAUUUGAGUAAUUAAGGACAAGACAGGCCUGAAAGUGCUCUGCCUGCAGACACAGGAGGAGCCUACAGAGUUCCCUGUUCCCAAAAGCAGGGCUGUGAGAUCUGAGAGCACGGGCAGCACGGCCGGGUUGUUCCUGCCUCAGCUCCAGCGGGAACGUCCUCGCUCCGAGGCUGGAAGGUGGGUGAGGAAAGGGUCAAAACACAUCCCCCCAACUGCAGGAGGAGAAGAAUGUUGGCAGAGCAAACCUUGCCACAGGAAUAAAAGGUUGUCCUGCCUGUUCAUAUUACGCCACGCGGGGUGAGUAAAACUGUCGGUCAGGAGUGAAGCGUCUGAUACACAAAAGGGAAUAAAAACUCAUUAAAGGGCUGAAAGAAAACCCUGUUAAAAUA